UAUGCCUAGCCAGAGUGAGUUCAAGACC
This 28-nucleotide non-coding RNA is filed under the name Mus musculus (house mouse). The record is from RNAcentral. Lineage: Eukaryota; Metazoa; Chordata; Mammalia; Rodentia; Muridae.